UGGAUGAUGUGGAUUAAUUCGAUGCAACGCGAAGAACCUUACCUACCCUUGACAUGUCCGGAACUUGCCAGAGAUGGCUUGGUGCCCGAAAGGGAAUCGGAACACAGGUGCUGCAUGGCUGUCGUCAGCUCGUGUCGUGAGAUGUUGGGUUAAGUCCCGCAACGAGCGCAACCCUUAUCAUUAGUUGCUACGCAAGGGCACUCUAAUGAGACUGCCGGUGACAAACCGGAGGAAGGUGGGGAUGACGUCAAGUCCUCAUGGCCCUUAUGGGUAGGGCUUCACACGUCAUACAAUGGUCGGUACAGAGGGUUGCCAAGCCGCGAGGCGGAGCGAAUCCCAGAAAACCUGUCUCAGUCCGGAUUGAAGUCUGCAACUCGACUUCAUGAAGGCGGAAUCGCUAGUAACCGCGAAUCAGCAGGUCGCGGUGAAUACGUUCCCGGGCCUU
Molecule: ribosomal RNA, 445 nt
Filed under: uncultured Tepidiphilus sp.
Lineage: Bacteria; Pseudomonadati; Pseudomonadota; Hydrogenophilia; Hydrogenophilales; Hydrogenophilaceae
Description: bacterial SSU rRNA
Rfam family: Bacterial small subunit ribosomal RNA
Source: RNAcentral